This 570-nucleotide ribosomal RNA is filed under the name Alternaria sp. XY-2-3-1. RNAcentral's name for it is "eukaryotic LSU rRNA". The stretch from base 195 to 348 matches the Rfam family "5.8S ribosomal RNA". Lineage: Eukaryota; Fungi; Ascomycota; Dothideomycetes; Pleosporales; Pleosporaceae. The record is from RNAcentral.
CCGUAGGUGAACCUGCGGAGGGAUCAUUACACAAAUAUGAAGGCGGGCUGGAACCUCUCGGGGUUACAGCCUUGCUGAAUUAUUCACCCUUGUCUUUUGCGUACUUCUUGUUUCCUUGGUGGGUUCGCCCACCACUAGGACAAACAUAAACCUUUUGUAAUUGCAAUCAGCGUCAGUAACAAAUUAAUAAUUACAACUUUCAACAACGGAUCUCUUGGUUCUGGCAUCGAUGAAGAACGCAGCGAAAUGCGAUAAGUAGUGUGAAUUGCAGAAUUCAGUGAAUCAUCGAAUCUUUGAACGCACAUUGCGCCCUUUGGUAUUCCAAAGGGCAUGCCUGUUCGAGCGUCAUUUGUACCCUCAAGCUUUGCUUGGUGUUGGGCGUCUUGUCUCUAGCUUUGCUGGAGACUCGCCUUAAAGUAAUUGGCAGCCGGCCUACUGGUUUCGGAGCGCAGCACAAGUCGCACUCUCUAUCAGCAAAGGUCUAGCAUCCAUUAAGCCUUUUUUUCAACUUUUGACCUCGGAUCAGGUAGGGAUACCCGCUGAACUUAAGCAUAUCAAUAAGCGGAGGAA